UACCUACUGGGGGUUGGGAUGCGGCAA
Molecule: small RNA, 27 nt
Filed under: Bombyx mori (domestic silkworm)
Lineage: Eukaryota; Metazoa; Arthropoda; Insecta; Lepidoptera; Bombycidae
Description: ovarian small RNA-20828
Source: RNAcentral